GAAAAGAAACCAACAGGGAUUGCCUCAGUAACGGCGAGUGAAGCGGCAAAAGCUCAAAUUUGAAAUCUAGCACCUUCGGUGUUCGAGUUGUAAUUUGAAGAUGGUAACCUUGGGUUUGGCUCUUGUCUAUGUUCCUUGGAACAGGACGUCAUAGAGGGUGAGAAUCCCGUCUGAUGAGAUGCCCAUUCCUAUGUAAGGUGCUAUCGAAGAGUCGAGUUGUUUGGGAAUGCAGCUCUAAGUGGGUGGUAAAUUCCAUCUAAAGCUAAAUAUUGGCGAGAGACCGAUAGCGAACAAGUACAGUGAUGGAAAGAUGAAAAGAACUUUGAAAAGAGAGUGAAAAAGUACGUGAAAUUGUUGAAAGGGAAGGGCAUUAGAUCAGACUUGGUGUUUUACGAUUAUCUUCUCUUCUUGAGUUGUGCACUCGUAUUUCACUGGGCCAGCAUCGAUUCGGAUGGCAAGAUAAUGGCAGUUGAAUGUGGCUUCACUUCGGUGGAGUGUUAUAGCUUCUGCUGAUAUUGCCUGUCUGGAUCGAGGGCUGCGUCUUU
Molecule: ribosomal RNA, 545 nt
Filed under: Hansenula anomala
Lineage: Eukaryota; Fungi; Ascomycota; Saccharomycetes; Phaffomycetales; Wickerhamomycetaceae
Description: eukaryotic LSU rRNA
Rfam family: Eukaryotic large subunit ribosomal RNA
Source: RNAcentral